CCUACGGGAGGCAGCAGUGGGGAAUAUUGGGCAAUGGAGGAAACUCUGACCCAGCGACGCCGCGUGCGGGAUGAAGGCCUUCGGGUUGUAAACCGCUUUCAGUAGGGAAGAAGCGAAAGUGACGGUACCUACAGAAGAAGCACCGGCUAACUAUGUGCCAGCAGCCGCGGUAAUACAUAGGGUGCAAGCGUUGUCCGGAAUUAUUGGGCGUAAAGAGCUCGUAGGUGGUUCGUCACGUCGGAUGUGAAAAUCUGGGGCUCAACCCCAGACCUGCAUUCGAUACGGGCGAUCUAGAGUGUGGUAGGGGAGACUGGAAUUCCUGGUGUAGCGGUGGAAUGCGCAGAUAUCAGGAGGAACACCAAUGGCGAAGGCAGGUCUCUGGGCCAUUACUGACACUGAGGAGCGAAAGCGUGGGAGCGAACAGGAUUAGAUACCCUGGUACGUCCACGCCGUAAACGGUGGGCACGUAGUUGUGGGAACCUUCCGACGGUUUCGNGCGACGCAGCUACGCUAUUACGUCCGCCCGCGUAGGGACGUACGACUCGACAAAGUAACUUAAAACUACGAAAGGUAGUUAGGACGGCGUGAGACGUACGACCGAACGGACGACGACGAGGGAGGAGG
RNAcentral lists this ribosomal RNA (624 nucleotides) under uncultured bacterium. RNAcentral describes it as "bacterial SSU rRNA". The stretch from base 1 to 524 matches the Rfam family "Bacterial small subunit ribosomal RNA", at positions 338 to 873 of the family's 1533-position model. The record is from RNAcentral.